This 784-nucleotide ribosomal RNA is filed under the name Lacrimispora sphenoides. RNAcentral describes it as "bacterial SSU rRNA". It matches the Rfam family "Bacterial small subunit ribosomal RNA", at positions 58 to 857 of the family's 1533-position model. The record is from RNAcentral. Lineage: Bacteria; Bacillati; Bacillota; Clostridia; Lachnospirales; Lachnospiraceae.
CGAUUCAAAUGAAGUUUUCGGACGGAUUUUGAAUUGACUUAGCGGCGGACGGGUGAGUAACGCGUGGGUAACCUGCCUCAUACAGGGGGAUAACAGUUGGAAACGACUGCUAAUACCGCAUAAGCACACAGUGCCGCAUGGUACGGUGUGAAAAACUCCGGUGGUAUGAGAUGGACCCGCGUCUGAUUAGGUAGUUGGUGAGGUAACGGCCCACCAAGCCGACGAUCAGUAGCCGACCUGAGAGGGUGACCGGCCACAUUGGGACUGAGACACGGCCCAAACUCCUACGGGAGGCAGCAGUGGGGAAUAUUGGACAAUGGGGGAAACCCUGAUCCAGCGACGCCGCGUGAGUGAAGAAGUAUUUCGGUAUGUAAAGCUCUAUCAGCAGGGAAGAAAAUGACGGUACCUGACUAAGAAGCCCCGGCUAACUACGUGCCAGCAGCCGCGGUAAUACGUAGGGGGCAAGCGUUAUCCGGAUUUACUGGGUGUAAAGGGAGCGUAGACGGCACUGCAAGUCUGGAGUGAAAGCCCGGGGCUCAACCCCGGGACUGCUUUGGAAACUGUGGUGCUAGAGUGCAGGAGAGGUAAGUGGAAUUCCUAGUGUAGCGGUGAGAUGCGUAGAUAUUAGGAGGAACACCAGUGGCGAAGGCGGCUUACUGGACUGUAACUGACGUUGAGGCUCGAAAGCGUGGGGAGCAAACAGGAUUAGAUACCCUGGUAGUCCACGCCGUAACGAUGAAUACUAGGUGUUGGGGAGCAAAGCUCUUCGGUGCCGCCGCUAACG